This is a long non-coding RNA of Mytilus californianus (California mussel), 581 nucleotides long. RefSeq lists it as uncharacterized. The record is from RefSeq and is a predicted model, not a curated record. The transcript has 3 exons. Lineage: Eukaryota; Metazoa; Mollusca; Bivalvia; Mytilida; Mytilidae.
UUCCAAUAUGCUCGAAGUACAGGGACUUUUAUGGAAUUCAUUGACAUGAUAGUCAAGCAAGAUGUCAACAUCUCGUCCAACCCUCUUCCAGCAAAGCCAAAGCUGACCAAGGAUCUUCACCCUUUCAAAACAGGCUGUAUACAGGACGAGUUAUUCCAGUAGGAACAGGGCUAUAUAUAUGCAAGCAAUGUUCAAUUAAGAUGAAUUUUUGUAAAAGUGACAAUAGCCAGGUCAAACUAAAUACAUGUAUAGAAGAAGAUAUUGAUCUAGACUCGCAGCUAACCUUUCUGUCAGUGUCAACAACAACUGAACUUUCACAGCCGUCAACAUCAGAUUGGGAGACUGAUAAUGCUUCUAACAGAAACAAUUUUAACCAACCAAACAAGCAACAGAAACUUUCCAACUUUAAAACAUCAGUUAAAUCUUCCAUGGGAUGAUGUCUCAAAAAAUAACAGUUCAUCAUUUAUGGAGAUUUUAAUGUUAUGGUUUUUCUUUUACAAGAAAGUUAAUGUACACUUGUUUUAUAGUAAAACCUAUAGCCGUUCAAGUAUAAAAAAACACAAUCAACUUUAUUGAAAUUU